UGCCUACGGGAGGCAGCAGUGGGGAAUAUUGCACAAUGGGGGAAACCCUGAUGCAGCGACGCCGCGUGAGCGAUGAAGUAUUUCGGUAUGUGAAGCUCUAUCAGCAGGGAAGAAAAUGACGGUACCUGACUAAGAAGCCCCGGCUAACUACGUGCCAGCAGCCGCGGUAAUACGUAGGGGGCGAGCGUUAUCCGGAUUCACUGGGUGUAAAGGGAGCGUAGACGGCCAAGCAAGCCAGGGGUGAAAGCCCGGGGCCCAACCCCGGGACUGCCCUUGGAACUGCAUGGCUGGAGUGCGGGAGGGGG
RNAcentral lists this ribosomal RNA (305 nucleotides) under uncultured bacterium. RNAcentral's name for it is "bacterial SSU rRNA". It matches the Rfam family "Bacterial small subunit ribosomal RNA", at positions 335 to 658 of the family's 1533-position model. The record is from RNAcentral.